Bison bison bison is the source of this 76-nucleotide microRNA precursor. The record is from Ensembl. NCBI's taxonomy places the organism in Eukaryota, Metazoa, Chordata, Mammalia, Artiodactyla, Bovidae.
GGGCGUGGCCCCGCGGGCGCUGGACGCCGCUGCCUUUUAGGACAAGGAGCGGGUGCAGGACCCCGGCGUCCUGCCC